UACGUAGGGUGCAAGCGUUAAUCGGAAUUACUGGGCGUAAAGCGUGCGCAGGCGGUUUUGUAAGUCUGAUGUGAAAUCCCCGGGCUCAACCUGGGAAUUGCAUUGGAGACUGCAAGGCUAGAAUUUGGCAGAGGGGGGUAGAAUUCCACGUGUAGCAGUGAAAUGCGUAGAGAUGUGGAGGAACACCGAUGGCGAAGGCAGCCCCCUGGGUCAAGAUUGACGCUCAUGCACGAAAGCGUGGGGAGCAAACAGG
This 253-nucleotide ribosomal RNA is filed under the name uncultured bacterium. Its description in RNAcentral is "partial 16S ribosomal RNA". It matches the Rfam family "Bacterial small subunit ribosomal RNA", at positions 524 to 776 of the family's 1533-position model. The record is from RNAcentral.